Hylaeus anthracinus is the source of this 2711-nucleotide long non-coding RNA. RefSeq lists it as uncharacterized. The transcript has 3 exons. The record is from RefSeq and is a predicted model, not a curated record. Lineage: Eukaryota; Metazoa; Arthropoda; Insecta; Hymenoptera; Colletidae.
CCCAACUUUCCAGGGGCUCUCAAACUCGACGCUGACCAUCGACAUUUAACCCGUGCACACCAUUUGGUCGUACAUUUUCAAGUUGAAUUAACAUUGAAACAUUUUGCGUUAAAUUAUAUUAAAAUUGGCGUAAUCUAUAAAGCAAUAACGAGUUCUGAUAAGGUUGGGUUGUUUCGUUACAGUAAGAGCGAGGACAUUGGUUCGUUCGACACUUUUACGAAAUAUUAAAAAACAUAUACUUAAUGGGAAACUAUGAUUCCAAGAAGAAAAACACUGUUGGUCUUAACUUGUGGUACGAAAUGUCAUCUCUCUACGAGUCACGAAAUCGGAGGGCGAAUAGUUAUCGUCCAGGUUUCGCGAGAUUGUUCGGCUUAGUGAUGUCACCGGUCAGCCGAGUUUUAACGAGCCUAAAUAAAUCAUUAGGUUUUACGGGUUGAGGAGCACUGAGCCUAAGAUAGCCGCGACACAUGCUGGAAAUUUGUUCGGCGGGAAUUUACGAGCGAGUUUCCGUGUCAGACGCAAUACCGUGGGCUCCGCUGAACUUGAUGGGAAUUUAAUUAUUUCGAAAACCGGAUGUGGAAUCGCAGAUCGCGUAUGAUUUACUUUUAAUCAUUGGACUCGAAAAAUUGGACUCGGAUUCGCAGGAACACGUUUUCCAGCCACGAGGAAACAAGACACAAAUUUAAAUAACAAGACGACAACCUCAAGGUUUCGCCAAUAAAAAAUAUCUAGAAGAUCUGUAUGCCGCUUCAACUAAUUUCUCACCGAACAACGAGCCAGCGGGAUCGCGAUCGACGAGCUUAAUCGAUCGCAAAGCUGUCGCAUGAGCCGCGGUUUUCGCUGAAGCAACGACGGGAAAAGUGCGCGUACAGGUGGGCAAUCGUGGGCCAGAGAGGUGUAUUUUUUUGUUGUUCCCGCGAGGCGACCAUUCCACGGGCCCAUCUGCUGCCAUCUCAAUCAGAACCGGACCGUUUCUAACGAAGUACCAUUCGCUGAUCCGGAGAUACGUUCAGCGAAAAGAAGAGCGUGGAGGGAAGGCGACGAACAGCCGUUGGAACGAGGCGAGGAGCCAUUGAUCCUGGCGGGUUGGGACACGGCUGAAAUCGUGUCCGGGCAGCAGUUCGAAGACUUGGACAUCGGUCCCUUGACGUCUCAAGCGGGAGGGUCUCGCAUCGGGCGAGAUAACGAAAUUAGCCCGGUCGCUAAUUUAUUUCCUAAUUCUCGCGGGAGCGGAGGUGUGAAACAGCCGUUCUGGACCGUGGUAUCCACGAUAACGGGCCAGGAUGUGGAAUAAAAAGGAGGUGGAAGGGUUUCUCUCGUAGGAAGGCGAUCCGGUGGUAAGAGAGGGAAAGACGAGACGAGGACGGGAACACCGGGUCCCGAACGAUCCGGAGAGAGAGAGGAAUAAUGAAAGAGAGUGAAGAGAAGAUAAUGCGAAGGCAGGAAUGCACGCCCACGUUCGCACCGUGUUUUCCUACGUCGGUGUGUCGGUGGUCACCACGUGAGAACACGCCUGGCGAGCAUAUGUGGAAUGCACAGUUGUUGCAUACUUCGCGUACCAUAGUUAUGGAUGCGCGAAUGCAUCGAUCCCCGGCCGUGGCAUUGACUUCACAGCCGCAACGGCGAUCCUCCGGCCGGCCGAUCGGCGAUUCGAAGAUUGCGCGAAAAUUAAUACCGUCUCCGCGGAUCACCGGCUGGAUCAAAUUAUACGAUUUUCGUUCGCAACGCGCGAGGUGUUGCGCCGUGAAUGACCCUUAACCUGAUCGCAACCACGUGUUACCUUGCCUAGGAGCAAACGUUACAAUUUGCCACUCGAACCGUUUUUAUUGGAACGGGGAAUAAGCGUUUCACGAGAUUACGCGUAAAUUCCGGAAUAGUUAUUUGUGUCGCUAGACGGGCGACGUUCGUAGGGUCACAAAUUUGGGUUGGAUGGUUCGAGAGUCACCUGCCCACCAAUUUGACGUCGAUACCGUGAACGACGUUCGUUGUAAGGGCUCUCCGCGCAUCCCUCAGGACAUGUUGGAUGUCGAGGAUCACGAGGAAGUCGUAAUUUCUACGAGAACGAGGCAAGCCGAAUGAAUUGACGAUGGCUUAUCCCCCUGCACGGCUACAAAAUCGUUUCGUACGCGUAUCAGACAAGAUAACGACGCCGGCGGGGCGUAUCGAUAAAUUCCGUUAAUUAAUUAUUGACGUGUCCCGGGGCUAUUUUCGCGUCCGCCGCAUGCGAAGGCAGACGGGUCCUUUUCUUCCUAUCUUUCUUCUUUUAUUCGAUUCUCAUUCGAACCGAAUCGUGUUUUUCUCCUCGGUGGGCGGCGCGAAUAAUUCGAUAUGGUGAUCUUUUAUCUAUUUCGGUCCACAUUUAUACGCGCGAAUCGACCUACUUUAAGCCAUCCCCAGAUACAAUCAAAAUUAUUCCAGGAAGGAUAUUUUUACAAUCUAUAUCGAGUGGAUUCUUUUACAACUGGCGUACUUUAACUUUAACCGCAAUCGUAAUCGUAGCGGCAAUUCCAACACCCUAUUUUUGUGCUAAUUGGGAAAGUACCUGUAACUUGUAUUCCUUUCAAUUUUUUUUUUUUUUUUUUUUUUUUUUUAAAUUAAUUUCCUAAUUUACUUUACAGACUCGCGGUCCUGAUGCCAUUAUUGAAACUCAAUAACCGAAACUAUAAUUCAUCGAGGACUCCCUCGGUCCGUCUAUCGCGUCUGUCGUGUAA